CCAGAGACUUUUAAUUGCCUUUUGGGUGGCGGGGAGCAGUUUCCUUCUAACACAGCCUCAGUUUUCUGUGUAUACUGCCAGAGUAGCCUGCUGGCUUCAGUUCUCCUGGAUUUCUUGGGCAGCCGUUCAGCUCAUGUCUACUCUGUUUUCAUUGCAGAUACUAUGUGCAAGUCCCCCUGGUGGUCACUUUGAAAUCCAGAGUCUUCAGACUUUAGGCAAAGAAACUGAAACUGACAUUCGAUUCUUGACCUCAGGGCACAAAAAGGAUUGGAAGAUGCGGGUCCUUUCAUUGCUGUAUCUGGGCUACAAGAAUCAAAGAGCAAAAGGGAUGUUUUCCUCUGAGAACUGGCAGCACACAGAAGGAAGGAAAUGCCUAUUCCAAUUCAAGCAUGUUUUAAUCUCUGCAGAAGUUUCUUACCCAUGUGUAAGGGAAUAAAGAAUAUCAUCUUGCACCAGUAAAC
This 461-nucleotide long non-coding RNA is filed under the name Chinchilla lanigera (long-tailed chinchilla). RNAcentral describes it as "lncRNA (ENSCLAG00000024538.1)". Lineage: Eukaryota; Metazoa; Chordata; Mammalia; Rodentia; Chinchillidae. The record is from RNAcentral.